GUCAAAUGUUAUCCAAAUUUUAGUCCGUAAAAUAAACCAAAAAAAAUCCAAAAAAACAGGUUGCAGGUAAGAAGAAGAUGAUGGUGUCGGGAUAAGAUAAUGGAUUAUCUGCGUAACGCUCUUUUGCUCUUCACCGCGUUCAUUACUUUUAUAACUGGAAUACAUAGUUGCACACGAAAAGUCUACAUUGCCUGCAGAAAACCCGCGCCCUGUGGAAAGUAAUUAUUUAUAAUGGCGAAAUUAAACUGGGUAUUCUUCUACACUUUACUGCUAGUAAUAUUCUCUAUAAUCGCCACCGGAAGUGCCUGUAAGAAGAAGAUUCCUUGUAGUGGUCGUGCGCCAUGCCGGCGAGGACCUUACAGAGAUUAACACACGCGUAAAAAUUGUGACAGAUUAAGGAUUCCGUAACCUGCUUAGUUGAGAAAAAGUAAAGAAUAAGGAACCUUUAAGGGGGCCCUGAACAUGCUUUAAAAUAAUGACCGUUACGAAAUCUUUAUAUGGAAAAUCGUACCACUAUUUAUAAGUUGUAAUUUAUAAAGAAUAUAUUUUAGCGAAAAUAAACCA
Pieris rapae (cabbage white) is the source of this 564-nucleotide long non-coding RNA. RefSeq lists it as uncharacterized. NCBI's taxonomy places the organism in Eukaryota, Metazoa, Arthropoda, Insecta, Lepidoptera, Pieridae. The record is from RefSeq and is a predicted model, not a curated record. The transcript is spliced from 3 exons.